Long non-coding RNA from Scomber japonicus (chub mackerel), 98 nucleotides. RefSeq lists it as uncharacterized. Lineage: Eukaryota; Metazoa; Chordata; Actinopteri; Scombriformes; Scombridae. The transcript has 3 exons. The record is from RefSeq and is a predicted model, not a curated record.
GAUGAGUAGUAACCAGAUCCCAGGCUGAUGACCAAUCAAACAAUCACUGUGGACAUGCAGAGGAGAGGAAUGCCCUCCCACAUGGUGCAGAGAACAUC